RNAcentral lists this ribosomal RNA (712 nucleotides) under uncultured bacterium. RNAcentral's name for it is "bacterial SSU rRNA". It matches the Rfam family "Bacterial small subunit ribosomal RNA", at positions 51 to 746 of the family's 1533-position model. The record is from RNAcentral.
AUACAUGCAAGUCGAGCGGACGGAUGGGAGCUUGCUCCCUGAAGUCAGCGGCGGACGGGUGAGUAACACGUGGGCAACCUGCCUGUAAGACUGGGAUAACUCCGGGAAACCGGGGCUAAUACCGGAUAAUUCUUUCCCUCACAUGAGGGAAAGCUGAAAGAUGGCUUCGGCUAUCACUUACAGAUGGGCCCGCGGCGCAUUAGCUAGUUGGUGAGGUAACGGCUCACCAAGGCAACGAUGCGUAGCCGACCUGAGAGGGUGAUCGGCCACACUGGGACUGAGACACGGCCCAGACUCCUACGGGAGGCAGCAGUAGGGAAUCUUCCGCAAUGGACGAAAGUCUGACGGAGCAACGCCGCGUGAGUGAUGAAGGUUUUCGGAUCGUAAAACUCUGUUGUUAGGGAAGAACAAGUGCCGGAGUAACUGCCGGCACCUUGACGGUACCUAACCAGAAAGCCACGGCUAACUACGUGCCAGCAGCCGCGGUAAUACGUAGGUGGCAAGCGUUGUCCGGAAUUAUUGGGCGUAAAGCGCGCGCAGGCGGUUCCUUAAGUCUGAUGUGAAAGCCCACGGCUCAACCGUGGAGGGUCAUUGGAAACUGGGGAACUUGAGUGCAGAAGAGGAGAGUGGAAUUCCACGUGUAGCGGUGAAAUGCGUAGAGAUGUGGAGGAACACCAGUGGCGAAGGCGACUCUCUGGUCUGUAACUGACGC